UACAGAGGUCUCAAGCGUUGUUCGGAUUCAUUGGGCGUAAAGGGUGCGUAGGCGGCGCGGUAAGUCGGGUGUGAAAUCUCGGAGCUUAACUCCGAAACUGCAUUCGAUACUGCCGUGCUUGAGGACUGGAGAGGAGACUGGAAUUUACGGUGUAGCGGUGAAAUGCGUAGAUAUCGUAAGGAAGACCAGUGGCGAAGGCACUCUACUGGGCUAUUACUGACACUCAGAGACGAAAGCUAGGGGAGCAAAUGGG
RNAcentral lists this ribosomal RNA (253 nucleotides) under uncultured bacterium. Its description in RNAcentral is "partial 16S ribosomal RNA". It matches the Rfam family "Bacterial small subunit ribosomal RNA", at positions 524 to 776 of the family's 1533-position model. The record is from RNAcentral.